UACGUAGGGUGCAAGCGUUGUCCGGAAUUAUUGGGCGUAAAGAGCUCGUAGGCGGUUUGUCGCGUCGAAUGUGAAAACCCGGGGCUCAACCCCGGGCCUGCAUUCGAUACGGGCAGACUAGAGUUCGGUAGGGGAGUCUGGAAUUCCUGGUGUAGCGGUGAAAUGCGCAGAUAUCAGGAGGAACACCGGUGGCGAAGGCGGUUCUCUGGGCAUGUCCUGACGCUGAGGAGCGAAAGUGUGGGGAGCGAACAGG
Molecule: ribosomal RNA, 253 nt
Filed under: uncultured bacterium
Lineage: Bacteria
Description: partial 16S ribosomal RNA
Rfam family: Bacterial small subunit ribosomal RNA
Source: RNAcentral